ACUCCUACGGGAGGCAGCAGUAGGGAAUCUUCCACAAUGGGCGCAAGCCUGAUGGAGCAACACCGCGUGAGUGAAGAAGGGUUUCGGCUCGUAAAGCUCUGUUGUUAAAGAAGAACACGUAUGAGAGUAACUGUUCAUACGUUGACGGUAUUUAACCAGAAAGUCACGGCUAACUACGUGCCAGCAGCCGCGGUAAUACGUAGGUGGCAAGCGUUAUCCGGAUUUAUUGGGCGUAAAGAGAGUGCAGGCGGUUUUCUAAGUCUGAUGUGAAAGCCUUCGGCUUAACCGGAGAAGUGCAUCGGAAACUGGAUAACUUGAGUGCAGAAGAGGGUAGUGGAACUCCAUGUGUAGCGGUGGAAUGCGUAGAUAUAUGGAAGAACACCAGUGGCGAAGGCGGCUACCUGGUCUGCAACUGACGCUGAGACUCGAAAGCAUGGGUAGUGAACA
This 447-nucleotide ribosomal RNA is filed under the name uncultured bacterium. Its description in RNAcentral is "bacterial SSU rRNA". It matches the Rfam family "Bacterial small subunit ribosomal RNA", at positions 335 to 774 of the family's 1533-position model. The record is from RNAcentral.